RNAcentral lists this ribosomal RNA (253 nucleotides) under uncultured bacterium. RNAcentral's name for it is "partial 16S ribosomal RNA". It matches the Rfam family "Bacterial small subunit ribosomal RNA", at positions 524 to 776 of the family's 1533-position model. The record is from RNAcentral.
UACGUAGGGCGCAAGCGUUGUCCGGAAUUAUUGGGCAUAAAGAGCUCGUAGGCGGCUUGUCACGUCGGGUGUGAAAGCCCGGGGCUUAACCCCGGGUCUGCAUUCGAUACGGGCAGGCUAGAGUGUGGUAGGGGAGAUCGGAAUUCCUGGUGUAGCGGUGAAAUGCGCAGAUAUCAGGAGGAACACCGGUGGCGAAGGCGGAUCUCUGGGCCAUUACUGACGCUGAGGAGCGAAAGCGUGGGGAGCGAACAGG